Molecule: ribosomal RNA, 253 nt
Filed under: uncultured bacterium
Lineage: Bacteria
Description: partial 16S ribosomal RNA
Rfam family: Bacterial small subunit ribosomal RNA
Source: RNAcentral
UACAGAGGUUCCAAGCGUUGUUCGGAUUCACUGGGCGUAAAGGGUGCGUAGGUGGUGAGGUAAGUCGGAUGUGAAAGCUCGGAGCUCAACUCCGAAAUGGCAUUGGAAACUACCUUGCUCGAGGGUUGGAGGGGGGACUGGAAUGCUUGGUGUAGCAGUGAAAUGCGUAGAUAUCAAGCGGAACACCAGUGGCGAAGGCGAGUCCCUGGACAACUCCUGACACUGAGGCACGAAAGCUAGGGGAGCAAACAGG